This 470-nucleotide ribosomal RNA is filed under the name uncultured bacterium. Its description in RNAcentral is "bacterial SSU rRNA". It matches the Rfam family "Bacterial small subunit ribosomal RNA", at positions 330 to 793 of the family's 1533-position model. The record is from RNAcentral.
CUAGGACUCCUACGGGAGGCAGCAGUGGGGAAUAUUGCACAAUGGGCGCAAGCCUGAUGCAGCCAUGCCGCGUGUAUGAAGAAGGCCUUCGGGUUGUAAAGUGCUUUCAGCAGUGAGGAAGGUGGGUAUGUUAAUAGCAUACUCAUUUGACGUUAGCUGCAGAAGAAGCACCGGCUAACUCCGUGCCAGCAGCCGCGGUAAUACGGAGGGUGCGAGCGUUAAUCGGAAUUACUGGGCGUAAAGCGCAUGCAGGUGGUUUGUUAAGUCAGAUGUGAAAGCCCGGGGCUCAACCUCGGAAUUGCAUUUGAAACUGGCAAACUAGAGUACUGUAGAGGGGGUAGAAUUUCAGGUGUAGCGGUGAAAUGCGUAGAGAUCUGAAGGAAUACCGGUGGCGAAGGCGGCCCCCUGGACAGAUACUGACACUCAGAUGCGAAAGCGUGGGGAGCAAACAGGAUUAGAUACCCUGGUAG